Molecule: ribosomal RNA, 535 nt
Filed under: uncultured bacterium
Lineage: Bacteria
Description: bacterial SSU rRNA
Rfam family: Bacterial small subunit ribosomal RNA
Source: RNAcentral
AAUAGAUACCCAGGUAGUCCUAGCCGUAAACGAUGAGCACUUGGUUGGAGGCUCCUCCAUAGGCUUCCGGCCGUAGCGAAAGUGUUAAGUGCUCCGCCUGGGGAGUAUGGCCGCAAGGCUGAAACUCAAAGGAAUUGACGGGGGCUCACACAAGCGGUGGAGGAUGUGGCUUAAUUCGAGGCUACGCGAAGAACCUUAUCCUAGUCUUGACAUGCAUGGAUUAACCCUAUGAAAGUAGGGCCACGCCUUCGGGUGGAACAUGCACAGGUGCUGCAUGACUGUCGUCAGCUCGUGUCGUGAGAUGUCGCGUUAAGUCGCUUAACGAGCGAAACCCUUGUCCUUAGUUGCCAGCGGGUUCAUGCCGGGGGUACUCUAAGGAGACUGCCGGUGUUAAACCGGAGGAAGGUGGGGAUGACGUCAAGUCCUCAUGGCCUUUAUGACUAGGGCUGCACACGUCCUACAAUGGCGCGCACAAACGGGGAAGCAAACUCGCGAGAGCCAGCAAAUCCCGAAAAAACCGGCGCCUCAGUUCGGU